AUCCAGCUGAUGAGUCCCGAAUAGGACGAAACGCGCAUCCUGGAU
Molecule: non-coding RNA, 45 nt
Filed under: Schistosoma japonicum
Lineage: Eukaryota; Metazoa; Platyhelminthes; Trematoda; Strigeidida; Schistosomatidae
Source: RNAcentral